CUAAUUCUAGGUACACCUUCCAGUACACCUACUAUGUUACGACUUAUUUCGUUAUAAACGAAAGCGACGGGCGAUAUGUACAUAAUUUAGAACCUAUAUCUUAUAAGCUUAUUAAACUUAAAAUACAACCAAAUCCUCCUUCACAGUAACUCUUACUUUACUGAUCCAUAUAAGAAGCCUUAUUGUAACUCAUUUCAACUUGUUUAUAAGCUGCACCAUGAUCUAAUUUCCAUAGUCAAUUAUUAUCCAGUAAUUAGUUUUCUUAAAAUUACCUGCUAAUGAUGGUAUACAGACUGAUAGUUACAAAAACAAGUAAGAUUCUGCGUGGCAUAUCGAUCAAGAAACAAGUUCCUCUGGCAAGAUUAAAUCACCGCCAAAUUCUUUAAUUUUUAAGCAACUAACUAUUACUAACUUAGUGAGCUUUGUUUCAGUUUAGAAUAAUAGGGUAUCUAAUCCUAGUGCUUAACUAAACCUUUUUAGCUUCGGCUCGAAUCACUUUGACUUAUAUAAUAGCAGUUUGAUUUUACCCUUUGCUACCUAUAAUUUUCCUUUAUAAUUAUAUCACCUAACUAACUCCUAACUAUUUUUACUUGGCCUCAAAGUAUAACCGCGAAUGCUGGCACAAAUAUUUAUCAGACCUCUCUAUAUUGCUACUAAUUCAUAUCUUCAUACAUAAUUAAUACUUAAUGCUGAGACCACAAACUUUAUUAUUCCACUUACGUUUCUUAAUCUAGCUCACUUAAAGCUACGCUAUUUUUUUCUCGGCAACUCCUUUCAUGCAAUUUUAACAAUAAAAUAAAAACUCAAGCCAAAAUCAAACAUUUAUUAAAGUAAACACGGCCCACUAUGACUCCGACUAAUACCUAUCUCUCAAACCCUGUCAUCAUUUUCAGAAUUUAUAUAAAAUAAACCUUGCCAA
This 919-nucleotide ribosomal RNA is filed under the name Grapsus tenuicrustatus. Its description in RNAcentral is "12S ribosomal RNA". Lineage: Eukaryota; Metazoa; Arthropoda; Malacostraca; Decapoda; Grapsidae. The record is from RNAcentral.